UCUCAUAGAUUCGUGGUAUAGCG
RNAcentral lists this small nuclear RNA (23 nucleotides) under Arabidopsis thaliana (thale cress). RNAcentral's name for it is "snRNA_12396". Lineage: Eukaryota; Viridiplantae; Streptophyta; Magnoliopsida; Brassicales; Brassicaceae. The record is from RNAcentral.